This 253-nucleotide ribosomal RNA is filed under the name uncultured bacterium. Its description in RNAcentral is "partial 16S ribosomal RNA". It matches the Rfam family "Bacterial small subunit ribosomal RNA", at positions 524 to 776 of the family's 1533-position model. The record is from RNAcentral.
UACGAAGGGGGCUAGCGUUGCUCGGAAUCACUGGGCGUAAAGCGCACGUAGGCGGACUCUUAAGUCGGUGGUGAAAUCCUGGAGCUCAACUCCAGAACUGCCUUCGAUACUGAGAGUCUCGAGUCCGGGAGAGGUGAGUGGAACUGCGAGUGUAGAGGUGAAAUUCGUAGAUAUUCGCAAGAACACCAGUGGCGAAGGCGGCCACCUAGCCCGCACCUGACGCUGAGGCGCGACAGCGUGGGGAGCGAACUGG